UCGAAACCUAAUCCGAUAAGGAACAACCCGCGAACUAGUUAUCACACACGCGGUGCGCUGGAGACUCUACCGGUCGUCACGCACGCGAAUCCGUGGGAUCUCAUUCGCUCAUCGAGUGGUACUCGUAGGUCGUCUGUUAUUCCGCGGAAAUCACCAAACCCCGGCGCGAGUAGCGUCAAGACCAUUCAACGAAACAGCUCGCUCGACACCGCCCAUGGGACUGUAGGUCGUCUGUNAUUCCNCGAAAAUCACCAACCCCCGGCGCNAGUAGGUCAAGACCAUUCAACGAAACAGCUCGCUCCGAGCACCGCCCAUGCGGUGCGUGUUCGGAAUGCGUGGCUGCGAUCAUAAGUCUAAAAAGACUCUCGGCAACGGAUAUCUCGGCUCUCGCAUCGAUGAAGAACGUAGCGAAAUGCGAUACUUGGUGUGAAUUGCAGAAUCCCGUGAACCAUCGAGUCUUUGAACGCAAGUUGCGCCCUAAGCCGUCAGGUCGAGGGCACGCUUGCCUGGGUGUCACGCAUCGUCAUCUCCCAACCCRUCUCGGCUUUCGCCCGGAUGAUCAAGGAGAAGGAGAUUGGUCUCCCGUGUGGUACCGCACGCGGUUGGCCUAAAAUCGAGACACGGGGGCGCGGAGCUUCCCGACGAGCGGUGGUGUCAAGAUGCCUCGUGAACGUCGGGUYGGCUUCCCGUCCCGAUGCGCUCGUUGACCCUGUCAGUGUCGCCUCGGCGGCUCUUCGAACGMGACCCCAGGUCAAGCGGGC
This 761-nucleotide ribosomal RNA is filed under the name Cleome anomala. Its description in RNAcentral is "eukaryotic LSU rRNA". The stretch from base 361 to 516 matches the Rfam family "5.8S ribosomal RNA". The record is from RNAcentral. Lineage: Eukaryota; Viridiplantae; Streptophyta; Magnoliopsida; Brassicales; Cleomaceae.